UUUUUUUUUUUUUUUUCAGAAUAAACCCGUAGUAAAUUUUACCAUAUUUGGAACAGUCUACAUCGCCAGUCAAUACACUAUAUCGUAAAUCGAGUCAUUCAAUUUGAUAACGGUUACAUAGUGACACCUCCAAAUAAGGAAAUCCGAUAUCACGGUUCGUACAUAUUCGGGCAUGCGUAGUCAGUGUGUAAACCAAGCUUGCAACAGCUGAAAAACUGGGACAUGUGUUUUGGAUAUAUUAACCUCAAAUAUCCGGCUGUAUAAUUGUAACAGCAUCAUUGUUAAAGGUAUAACUGACACAGUGGCACGCACGGGGAUUGUAGGAAUAUGUGAUAUUGUACAGCAUCGAAAAACAGCAACAACAACAACAAGUCUUGAUAUGCAGAGAAAAUAAGAUUCUGCAAUGGCGCUGUUGUCUGUCGUUUCUAUUCUGAGAAUAUCUGUCAGUUUCAACACGAAGUUUAUGAGAUGCAAGCCUUAAUCGCGCCAAAGCAACACAAUAUUUGCUGGGUAAUACACUUAAAUAACAUUCAAAUUCAAUGAAAGGAAUG
Long non-coding RNA from Mercenaria mercenaria, 551 nucleotides. RefSeq lists it as uncharacterized. The record is from RefSeq and is a predicted model, not a curated record. Lineage: Eukaryota; Metazoa; Mollusca; Bivalvia; Venerida; Veneridae. The transcript is spliced from 3 exons.